Long non-coding RNA from Pomacea canaliculata, 1748 nucleotides. RefSeq lists it as uncharacterized. Lineage: Eukaryota; Metazoa; Mollusca; Gastropoda; Architaenioglossa; Ampullariidae. The record is from RefSeq and is a predicted model, not a curated record. The transcript has 2 exons.
UGUCACCGACUAGAAGCGUCGAAGUCUGAAGCUGUCGUUAUCAGUGUUGCUAUAUUGACCACCGCAAGCGUUAAAGAAUACCUUGAAUAAUAAACUUCAUAAAUAAGAUAAAUAAAAUGUUAUUAUGGAAACAAUUGAGAUAUUAGACAGAUUUUAUUUGUAUAUUCAAGAUAAACCAGAUUCCAUUGAGUUAAUUGUGAAGCAUCCAUAGACUUCUAUACGAGUAUGUGGUAGCGCUACGGUAGCACACGUCGACAAAAAGUAUUCCAAACAGCGAGCUACUGUGGGAAGUAUGGACAGCAGCAGAAAGAAGAGAUCAACACCAUGCUGAAGCACAGCUCUCUCACCAAUAAGCUAGGAGAAAGGAUCUUUGGGCAGAUGUACUUUAAGAUGAGCAAGUCAAGGCAUGUUUUUUUAUAAUCACGUUUUCCCUACUUACGAUGUGGCACAACUACAAAAUUGUGGAAUGGCUUGUUGGGAAAGGCUGUUAACAGCCCAAGGUCCCCAAUGUAGCAAGGAAGAAAAGCCAGGUAACAGGAGAAGCAGUAUUUUGCUCAACACCAUCUGACCAUGUCAGCAGCAAAGACACACCGGUCAAGGCAAUAGAAGAAAUGUUGUGGAAGAAUUAAAACUGCUGGAAAACCAGUUCAAACAGCAGUUGAGGAAGGCAAAAAGUUAUCUGGGACUGUAGACCACAUACACAUCCAUUGAAGUCAGACAAGAUGUUCUUGAUGCUAACAAACAAUUAUGUAUCAUUAUAUUAAAAAGUGUUCAAUUAAUGGAAGAAAAUGCUUGGAUGUUGACAGAGCCUACUAUGUUGAGGAAUUAAUGUCUAUUUCGUUAUUGAAAAUAUGCGGUCUUUAUGUGAUUUUGCAUCUUUUUCUUUUAAAUUAUGAUGUCUAAGCUGAACUUCUAAGAAUGUAUUUGAGAUUAUGUGGUGAAAUGGUUUGAAAAAAAUUGGGGCAUGAGACUGUUGAAGUUUGCCUGCAAAUGGUGUUGCCCUGACAUGCAUUAUGUAGGAUAUAUUUUCUUCAGUAAUGAUUUAUGGUAGCUAUCCAAGGCUCUAGCGAUGUGUUACAUAAAGCAAAGAAUGUGCCACAUUCUUUUGUUUACCAACAUGCAUACUCAAGUUACAUUGUAUAUUUAUUCAAAUCGGUCUCAUUCAUUGCUGUCAUUUCUUGCAUAUUUGAGGAUAAAAGGGAUCAAUUUUUGCAUCUUUUGUGCAUAUUUUCAUCAAUUCCCAUGAAAAACACAGUGAAAGUGAAGUGAGCAAAAUAUCUUAAAUUUAAUCAGUUAUGGUUAAUAUAAUGCAACAAUACACGUGAGCUUUGUAAUGCUCACAGAAAUACUUAACAGUCAAUAAACUUGUAAAAAAAAUGUAUAUGUUUAACAUAUUUUAUGUACUUUAAAGGAUACAGGCAAGAGUACACAAAAAGACAUCAGACCAUUUCAGCAACACACUAAUCACUCUUACAAUUUACACCACUUAGCACAACAUUUUUCUUUUUGAAAUUAGAAAAUGUUAGCUCUCUUUGUGUGAGAGAGAGCAUGUGUGUGUGUGUGCCUACACAUGUGUGCUAGCAUGUGCAUGCACAAAUAGACAAAAAAAGCAACUUGUGUGCACAGACAGAAACACACCAAACAAAAAUCUUGUACCUGUUACAAAUUGUUAAGAUAAUAUCAAUAUCUAGGUCCGAUGAAUACAGACUGUACCACAUUUUGCAUUAAACACAUUAUUGGGAAGAAAA